GCAUAAGUUUGUGGCUUUGAUAAAUAUUUGGAUCUCCUUAUAUAAAAGAAAGAUCAAGGGGACAUAAUAGUUCCAAGAUCAGAUGCAUCAGGAAUCUUUUCUUUAAGUUCAUUUUCUAGGGUACUCUAAUGGUGAAGUAGGUGAACUUAUUUAUAAUAUGCUGAGAAAUAUCUAACUCACUGAAAGCAUGAACUUUGAUGGAGAUUGCCAUGCAUUUCAGGAUUAUUCACUAAAAAAUGUCUGGUUUAAAGCAUGAUGGUAGCUGCUCC
Molecule: long non-coding RNA, 269 nt
Filed under: Elaeis guineensis (African oil palm)
Lineage: Eukaryota; Viridiplantae; Streptophyta; Magnoliopsida; Arecales; Arecaceae
Description: long non-coding RNA (EGUI_LNC075249)
Source: RNAcentral